RNAcentral lists this ribosomal RNA (1375 nucleotides) under uncultured bacterium. Its description in RNAcentral is "bacterial SSU rRNA". It matches the Rfam family "Bacterial small subunit ribosomal RNA". The record is from RNAcentral.
CCUUAGAGUUUGAUCCUGGCUCAGGACGCUUGCUGGCGGCGCGCCUAACACAUGCAAGUCGAACGAGCGAGAGAGAGCUUGCUUUCUCGAGCGAGUGGCGAACGGGUGAGUAACGCGUGAGGAACCUGCCUCAAAGAGGGGGACAACAGUUGGAAACGACUGCUAAUACCGCAUAAGCCCACGGGUCGGCAUCGACCAGAGGGAAAAGGAGCAAUCCGCUUUGAGAUGGCCUCGCGUCCGAUUAGCUAGUUGGUGAGGUAACGGCCCACCAAGGCGACGAUCGGUAGCCGGACUGAGAGGUUGAACGGCCACAUUGGGACUGAGACACGGCCCAGACUCCUACGGGAGGCAGCAGUGGGGAAUAUUGCACAAUGGGGGAAACCCUGAUGCAGCGACGCCGCGUGGAGGAAGAAGGUCUUCGGAUUGUAAACUCCUGUUGUUGAGGAAGAUAAUGACGGUACUCAACAAGGAAGUGACGGCUAACUACGUGCCAGCAGCCGCGGUAAAACGUAGGUCACAAGCGUUGUCCGGAAUUACUGGGUGUAAAGGGAGCGCAGGCGGGAAGACAAGUUGGAAGUGAAAUCUAUGGGCUCAACCCAUAAACUGCUUUCAAAACUGUUUUUCUUGAGUAGUGCAGAGGUAGGCGGAAUUCCCGGUGUAGCGGUGGAAUGCGUAGAUAUCGGGAGGAACACCAGUGGGGAAGGGGGCCUACUGGGGCACCAACUGACGCUGAGGCUCGAAAGUGUGGGUAGCAAACAGGAUUAGAUACCCUGGUAGUCCACACCGUAAACGAUGAUUACUAGGUGUUGGAGGAUUGACCCCUUCAGUGCCGCAGUUAACACAAUAAGUAAUCCACCUGGGGAGUACGACCGCAAGGUUGAAACUCAAAGGAAUUGACGGGGGCCCGCACAAGCAGUGGAGUAUGUGGUUUAAUUCGACGCAACGCGAAGAACCUUACCAAGUCUUGACAUCCUGCGACGCACAUAGAAAUAUGUGUUUCCUUCGGGACGCAGAGACAGGUGGUGCAUGGUUGUCGUCAGCUCGUGUCGUGAGAUGUUGGGUUAAGUCCCGCAACGAGCGCAACCCUUACUGUCAGUUACUACGCAAGAGGACUCUGGCAGGACUGCCGUUGACAAAACGGAGGAAGGUGGGGAUGACGUCAAAUCAUCAUGCCCUUUAUGACUUGGGCUACACACGUACUACAAUGGCGUUAAACAAAGAGAAGCAAGACCGCGAGGUGGAGCAAAACUCAGAAACAACGUCCCAGUUCGGACUGCAGGCUGCAACUCGCCUGCACGAAGUCGGAAUUGCUAGUAAUCGUGGAUCAGCAUGCCACGGUGAAUACGUUCCCGGGCCUUGCACUCACCGCCCGUCA